CAAAAGGACUGCGGAGCUAAGCUGCUCUGAAACCAGAAGACCCCCCGCAGUCUGUGGGGAACCCCUGAACACCAAGGGGGGCCCUGUCUGCUAAAACACUGGGAGCUAUUGAUCCAAUGGGUUUACUGUCCUGUUUGUAUUAACAGUGUGUUUAUUUUACCAGUCAAACCUGCAGAGACUGAUACUGUGUACUCAGCUGUGAAAAUAAGUGCAGGCAAGCCCACUGCAGAUAAUGCAGAGGUCAUGUAUGCCACAGUCCUCCCAAAGAAGAAAAGGAAGUAAAUGAAGGGGGUCCCCAGGAGUGAGAGCCAGCCUGAAUCCAGAGACACUGAGAAGGGGAGCGUGUCAAACUGAAGGAGACAGACCCAUUCUUUCAGAAUGACCUGGAGAGCCCUGGGAUUCAGCUCCACUCCUGCCCCUGAAUUGGAAAUGAAUCUCACUCAUCAUGCUGUGAGGAUUUAGGACAGUUACAGGGUCAUUCUACUUAGAAGGGACACAUUGGAAAUAUAUACCAAGCUUUUUCACUGAACACUUGUAUGUGUGAUAUGAACCCACCACAUUAAACAAAGCUGUCAAUAACAUAUAUGAUAUUUUUAAAUGUAAUUUGAGCUGUAAAUGUAUUGCUGUGCCAGUGUCAGUGAGUACAGUAUAUGAUAAAGAAAUUAAUUGUUUAAAAUAGUUUGAGUUCCUGUACGUUUUCCAGUAUCUCUGUAUAUAAAGGGUGUGUGAGAAAUUCCUAGUUGUAAUUGAAUGUUCUUUGUAAAAUGACAUUUCAAAUCUUAAACUGAGACUUCAGAUGCUGGGAUGUUAAUUAAGUUUGUUUUCCCCCUUCCUUUCUCUUUAACAUUCUCUAGAUCUACUUCAAAGGACUAGAUAUUAGUAACAGAUAUCUAUAUUCAUACAGAUUCUAUAUCUUUUUUAUUGUAUUAUAUAUAGUACAAUAAAAAAAACCA
Molecule: long non-coding RNA, 953 nt
Organism: Acipenser ruthenus (sterlet)
Lineage: Eukaryota; Metazoa; Chordata; Actinopteri; Acipenseriformes; Acipenseridae
Exons: 3
Source: RefSeq, a predicted model, not a curated record